This 501-nucleotide ribosomal RNA is filed under the name uncultured Actinomycetes bacterium. Its description in RNAcentral is "bacterial SSU rRNA". It matches the Rfam family "Bacterial small subunit ribosomal RNA", at positions 382 to 892 of the family's 1533-position model. The record is from RNAcentral. Lineage: Bacteria; Bacillati; Actinomycetota; Actinomycetes.
CCUGACUCAGCGACGCCGCGUGGGGGAUGCCGGCCUUCGGGUUGUAAACCUCUUUCGACCUCGACGAAGCGGAAGUGACGGUAGGGGUAGAAGAAGCACCGGCCAACUACGUGCCAGCAGCCGCGGUAACACGUAGGGUGCGAGCGUUGUCCGGAAUUAUUGGGCGUAAAGAGCUCGUAGGCGGUGUGUCGCGUCGGCCGUGAAAACCUGCAGCUUAACUGUGGGCUUGCGGUCGAUACGGGCAUCACUGGAGUUCGGCAGGGGAGACUGGAAUUCCUGGUGUAGCGGUGAAAUGCGCAGAUAUCAGGAGGAACACCGGUGGCGAAGGCGGGUCUCUGGGCCGAUACUGACGCUGAGGAGCGAAAGCGUGGGGAGCGAACAGGAUUAGAUACCCUGGUAGUCCACGCCGUAAACGUCGAGCGCUAGGUGUGGGGGCCAUUCCACGGUCUCUGUGCCGGAGCUAACGCAUUAAGCGCCCCGCCUGGGGAGUACGGCCGCAAG